This 70-nucleotide transfer RNA is filed under the name Nothobranchius foerschi. RNAcentral's name for it is "tRNA-Pro". It matches the Rfam family "tRNA". From Rfam's summary of the family: Transfer RNA (tRNA) molecules are approximately 80 nucleotides in length. Their secondary structure includes four short double-helical elements and three loops (D, anti-codon, and T loops). The record is from RNAcentral. Lineage: Eukaryota; Metazoa; Chordata; Actinopteri; Cyprinodontiformes; Nothobranchiidae.
CAGAAAGUAGUUUAAUUAAAAAUUUUGGCUUUGGGAGUCAUUGAUAAGGGUUUAAUUCCUUUUUUUCUGA